UUGAGUAACGAAAACAUUGGUGAGAAUCCAAUGCCCCGAAAACCCAAGGUUUCCUCCGCAAGGUUCGUCCACGGAGGGUGAGUCAGGGCCUAAGAUCAGGCCGAAAGACGUAGUCGAUGGACAACAGGUCAAUAUUCCUGUACUACCCCUUGUUGGUAUGGAGGGAUGGAGGAAAUAUAGGCCUGCUUGCCAUCCACACCAGAAUAGAUAGAGUUUUCCAAAGAAACUAGCUAGUGGAGGAAGGCCUCCUAGGGAUAAGAGACAUAGGGCUAAAGAGAGAGCCAAAAAAGGAUCUGUCGUGUAUAA
RNAcentral lists this non-coding RNA (306 nucleotides) under Triticum aestivum (bread wheat). RNAcentral describes it as "Bacterial large subunit ribosomal RNA". It matches the Rfam family "Bacterial large subunit ribosomal RNA", at positions 1303 to 1617 of the family's 2925-position model. The record is from Rfam by way of RNAcentral. Lineage: Eukaryota; Viridiplantae; Streptophyta; Magnoliopsida; Poales; Poaceae. RNAcentral also lists the same sequence under 1 other name.